CCCUUAGAUGUUCUGGGCCGCACGCGCGCUACAAUGGCAGGCUCAGCGAGUUACCUCUGUCGAAAGGCACAGGGAAUCUUUACAGUAUCUGCCGUGAUGGGGAUAGACCCUUGUAAUUUUUGGUCUUCAACGAGGAAUUCCUAGUAAACGCAAGUCAUUAACUUGCAUUGAUUACGUCCCUGCCCUUUGUACACACCGCCCGUCGCACCUACCGAUUGAAUGGUCCGGUGAAGUCCUCGGACCCAGUUGAACCUCGAGUUGAACAGGGAAAGUUGACUAAAUCUUACCAUUUAGAGGAAGGUGAAGUCGUAACA
RNAcentral lists this ribosomal RNA (314 nucleotides) under uncultured eukaryote. RNAcentral's name for it is "partial 18S ribosomal RNA". It matches the Rfam family "Eukaryotic small subunit ribosomal RNA", at positions 1470 to 1796 of the family's 1831-position model. The record is from RNAcentral.